RNAcentral lists this transfer RNA (71 nucleotides) under Loxodonta africana (African savanna elephant). It matches the Rfam family "tRNA". From Rfam's summary of the family: Transfer RNA (tRNA) molecules are approximately 80 nucleotides in length. Their secondary structure includes four short double-helical elements and three loops (D, anti-codon, and T loops). The record is from Rfam by way of RNAcentral. Lineage: Eukaryota; Metazoa; Chordata; Mammalia; Proboscidea; Elephantidae.
ACGUUUGUGGUUCAGUGGUAGAAUUCUCACCUUCCAUGUGGGAGACCCAGGUUCAGUUCUCGGCCAGUGCA